RNAcentral lists this ribosomal RNA (243 nucleotides) under Paenibacillus agri. RNAcentral describes it as "Bacterial large subunit ribosomal RNA". It matches the Rfam family "Bacterial large subunit ribosomal RNA", at positions 461 to 704 of the family's 2925-position model. Lineage: Bacteria; Bacillati; Bacillota; Bacilli; Caryophanales; Paenibacillaceae. The record is from Rfam by way of RNAcentral.
CAAGGCUAAAUACUACCUGGCGACCGAUAGUGAAUCAGUACCGUGAGGGAAAGGUGAAAAGCACCCCGGAAGGGGAGUGAAAUAGAACCUGAAACCGUGUGCUUACAAAAAGUCAGAGCCCAAUCUAGGGGUGAUGGCGUGCCUUUUGUAGAAUGAACCGGCGAGUUACGUUUAACAUGCAAGGUUAAGUCGAGAAGACGGAGCCGCAGCGAAAGCGAGUCUGAAUAGGGCGAAUGAGUAUGU